RNAcentral lists this ribosomal RNA (133 nucleotides) under Conlarium sp. RNAcentral describes it as "partial large subunit ribosomal RNA". Lineage: Eukaryota; Fungi; Ascomycota; Sordariomycetes; Conlariaceae. The record is from RNAcentral.
AAGCGCUUGUGACCAGACUUGCGCCAGGUGGAUCAUCCAGCGUUCUCGCUGGUGCACUCUGCCUGGUUCAGGCCAGCAUCGGUUUUCUCAGUGGGAUAAAGGCUUUGGGAAUGUAGCUCUUCCGGGAGUGUUA